GUAUUUUGCUCUUUAUAAGCACACAGGUGGACAGAGGAUUUAUAUCUGUGGGACAACUCAGAAGCAAAUUAAAGAAGUUCGGGGUUUAAGCUCAGCAGAUUUCAAAACACAUUUUUUAUACCUUCUGCAAUACAGUAAAGCUUAUCAAGAACUUUCCCAUUGGGCACCAGAGUCAAAAGAAGUAAGAGGAAUGUGAACAGCGUGCUUCCUCAGGGUCAUUCCUAUCACUGUAAUUCUUUCAGCAUGACUUCCCAUAUUAGCUUGAGCUCCAUUGCAUAAAGAUCAUUUUUAGGAGAUCAUUGUGAAUACAGUGCUGAGCUGAUCAAAUCGAUCAGACGUUUGUCAUUGCUUCACCAUCCACAAGCUCAAAGCACGUGGAAAGUUUAAGGGCUCUUAACUGAAAAUACGAUGUUUUCACUCUAUAACCUCUUGCUUUCGUCUCUGUAGUACUCUAGGAUACAUCAGCUGCUGACAUAAAUUCAUUCAUUUUGGUGUAAUUUCGUUUAGAAGACACAAGAGCAGUCACACAGAAUCAGUGAUGCCGAUGUUUCCCUAUAACAAUCCCGAUGCGCUUUAUGUGAGAGGGGAAGCAUCAACUCCCUGCUGAAGGGAAAUGCUGAGCCUCGGGAGUGAAAGAUGGUGAUUUGCCAACGCUGGGACAGCACGCGAGUCUCCUGGUGCUAUCCCACAUUUGUGUUUUUGACAUGGAACAGAAUAUGAAAACAAUGCAUAAAGAUAAAUGCAUUUCAGAGUGUGAGAUCAGCUUUAAAUCACCAGAUUUCAAGCUGCGGUGUUUCCUACACAAAGCCCACCUCUGCCCCUUUGAUAAACCCAGUGGGCAACACUGUUCUUUUUGCUCUCGCAAAGGGACACUGUAUGGCAUGUUUGUUAGGACUAUAGUGCUGCAUUUGCUAAUGAAAUUAAGUGUUUUGGAGAAGUUCUUUUAAGCAAAAACAUGUGUUCCAGGGAGGAAACAUUCUUCUGGUAAACAGCUGAGCCCUUAACAUUUAGCAACAUAACUCUGUGUUUGCAGCUAUUGAAAGUUGUGCGACUAAGGAAGCCUGCAUUUCUGAGGCCGAGGACUGCAAGCAUUUUGCUUGUUGUCAGCCAGCCAGACGUUUCUUUUAUAUAUAUGCUAGCUGCAAGAACCAGCUAUUGACUGGUUGCUUCUUAUGGUUUUAAUAAAAUUUGUCUCGUAUCAAAAUGCCGCUGGGUUUCAGCAUUGACACCACACUGAGCAAUGCUCUCUGCUCAGGCACAGCUGGCUCUUGCUUUCCAGAAAUAUCGCUGUGCCCUGGCAUUGCUUGCAAAAAUUGCAGCCUUAAAUCAUUUUGUCACCCCUUUGACCCACUUCGAGAGGGACCCUCUGCAUACAGAUCCCCCUCUUUCAUUGGAAGCAAGGGUCAUUCCUCCUUCUCCCAGCAAGGAGAAGAUGCAGCAGGAGGAGGCAGUUGAGGCACAGAGGAGAAAUUACCUGAUAGCCACAGGCAUCGGCCAUGGGAAGCUCACAAGAAAGUGAAAACAGCUGGAAACUACAGCAAGGGACAGGGACGAGAAGAUAGGAGCAUCCCACGCGCCAACGGGAGGGAGAGAUGCUUGGGCUGUUGAUGCUGGGACACCACGUUCUGGGCAAUUCAUUGGCACCCGCAGCAUGACAGGAUGUUAUCUCAUUUCCUGUAGCCCUCAGAGCAGCUGGGCAUGCUUACAGUUUUCAGCAACUACCAGCUGAGGCCAAACAAGAUCCCACGAUAAAAGUUCAAGGCCUCACGUUCCUCUUCUUACUGCUUUCCUGAGCAGGUUCUCAUUUUAAUCAGACUUAUGGUACUUUCAUCCAGCUAUCUCAAAGCACAUAACAACCACUGUAAUUACUGGCAAUAAUGAGCUAAUUAAUUCUUCUGGGUAUUAUUUCUCAACGAAUAAGUACUACUAUCCUCAGCAUGGGGAUGUGGAAACUGAGCUUAUAUUUAUUUCCCUAAUGUGGAAAGCUAACAUGUAAAGAACUAACACAUCCUUCUGGCUGUGAAACUUCCAUCACAAGAGAUGUCUUCAGCUAUGUCUUUAAAUGUAUGGAUUCUGCCGCUGUGGCUCCAGAACUCUUCAGGACAGAUAAGACACAUCGAAUCUUUAAUCGCUUCUGGAACCGUUUGAGCAGAGCCCUGCUCCCGUUUUCCCUUUGGUCCGGAGGAAAACGACGACAGCUCUCCUUGAAAUUAAGGUCAAGUACGGGAAGCUCA
Molecule: long non-coding RNA, 2234 nt
Organism: Numida meleagris (helmeted guineafowl)
Lineage: Eukaryota; Metazoa; Chordata; Aves; Galliformes; Numididae
Exons: 3
Source: RefSeq, a predicted model, not a curated record